CAAGGGGGCUGGAGAAAAAAUGCAAGUCGAGCGGACCGAACGGGAGCUUGCUUCUGUUCGGUUAGCGGCGGACGGGUGAGUAACACGUGGGUAACCUGCCCGUAAGACCGGGAUAACUCCGGGAAACCGGGGCUAAUACCGGAUAACACCGAAGACCGCAUGGUCUUUGGUUGAAAGGUGGCUUUUGCUACCACUUACGGAUGGGCCCGCGGCGCAUUAGCUAGUUGGUGAGGUAACGGCUCACCAAGGCGACGAUGCGUAGCCGGCCUGAGAGGGUGACCGGCCACACUGGGACUGAGACACGGCCCAGACUCCUACGGGAGGCAGCAGUAGGGAAUCUUCCGCAAUGGACGAAAGUCUGACGGAGCGACGCCGCGUGAGCGAAGAAGGUCUUCGGAUCGUAAAGCUCUGUUGUUAGGGAAGAAGAAGUACCGUUCGAAUAGGGCGGUACGGUGACGGUACCUAACGAGAAAGCCCCGGCUAACUACGUGCCAGCAGCCGCGGUAAUACGUAGGGGGCGAGCGUUGUCCGGAAUUAUUGGGCGUAAAGCGCGCGCAGGCGGUCCCUUAAGUCUGAUGUGAAAGCCCACGGCUCAACCGUGGAGGGUCAUUGGAAACUGGGGGACUUGAGUGCAGAAGAGGAGAGCGGAAUUCCACGUGUAGCGGUGAAAUGCGUAGAGAUGUGGAGGAACACCAGUGGCGAAAGCGGCUCUCUGGUCUGUAACUGACGCUGAGGCGCGAAAGCGUGGGGAGCAAAACAGGAUUAAAUACCCUGGGUAGUCCACGCCGUAAACGAUGAGUGCUAGUGGUAGAGGGUUAACCCUUUAUGCUGUAAGCUACGCGUAAAGCACUCCGCCUUGGGAGUACCGCGCAGCGUGAGACGUCAAGGAAUUGACGGAGGGCGCCAAGCGUGGACAUUGGCUAAAUCCAAGCACACGCGAAGAAACCUUAUCCAGAGUCCGUA
RNAcentral lists this ribosomal RNA (963 nucleotides) under Parageobacillus caldoxylosilyticus. RNAcentral describes it as "bacterial SSU rRNA". It matches the Rfam family "Bacterial small subunit ribosomal RNA", at positions 36 to 986 of the family's 1533-position model. Lineage: Bacteria; Bacillati; Bacillota; Bacilli; Caryophanales; Anoxybacillaceae. The record is from RNAcentral.